RNAcentral lists this ribosomal RNA (236 nucleotides) under uncultured bacterium. Its description in RNAcentral is "partial 16S ribosomal RNA". It matches the Rfam family "Bacterial small subunit ribosomal RNA", at positions 99 to 334 of the family's 1533-position model. The record is from RNAcentral.
CAAACGGGUGCGGAACACGUACACAACCUUCCUUUAAGUGGGGGAUAGCCCAGAGAAAUUUGGAUUAAUACCCCGUAAGAUUGAGAGAUGGCAUCAUUUCUUAAUUAAAGCUCCGGCGCUUGGAGAUGGGUGUGCGUCUGAUUAGGUAGUUGGUGAGGGUAACGGCCCACCAAGCCUUCGAUCAGUAACUGGUGUGAGAGCACGACCAGUCACACGGGCACUGAGACACGGGCCCG